GCGUGCUUAACACAUGCAAGUCGAACGAGUGGCGGACGGGUGAGUAACGCGUGAGGAUCUGCCUUUAGUGGGGGACAACCAAUGGAAACGUUGGCUAAUACCGCAUAAGAUGAACUCGCGUCUGAUUAGCUAGUUGGUGGGGUAAAGGCCUACCAAGGCGACGAUCAGUAGCUGGUCUGAGAGGAUGAUCAGCCACACUGGGACUGAGACGCGGCCCAGACUCCUACGGGAGGCAGCAGUGGGGAAUUUUCCGCAAUGGGCGCAAGCCUGACGGAGCAACGCCGCGUGAGGGAGGAAUGCCUUUGGGUUGUAAACCUCUUUUCUCAGGGAUGACGGUACCUGAGGAAUCAGCAUCGGCUAACUCCGUGCCAGCAGCCGCGGUAAGACGGAGGAUGCAAGCGUUAUCCGGAAUUAUUGGGCGUAAAGCGUCCGUAGGCGGUUGAAUAAGUCAGCUGUUAAAGACUGGGGCUCAACCCUGGGGUUGCAGCUGAGACUGUUCGACUAGAGAGCGGUAGGGGUAGAGGGAAUUCCUAGUGUAGCGGUGAAAUGCGUAGAUAUUAGGAAGAACACCAGUGGCGAAGGCGCUCUACUGGGCCGUUACUGACGCUGAUGGACGAAAGCUAGGGGAGCGAAUGGGAUUAGAUACCCCAGUAGUCCUAGCUGUAAACGAUGGAUACUAGGUGUUGGUACCGCAGCAAACGCGUUAAGUA
Molecule: ribosomal RNA, 710 nt
Filed under: uncultured cyanobacterium
Lineage: Bacteria; Bacillati; Cyanobacteriota
Description: bacterial SSU rRNA
Rfam family: Bacterial small subunit ribosomal RNA
Source: RNAcentral